RNAcentral lists this unclassified non-coding RNA (1550 nucleotides) under Centruroides sculpturatus (bark scorpion). RNAcentral's name for it is "tektin-4-like, transcript variant X2". The record is from RNAcentral. Lineage: Eukaryota; Metazoa; Arthropoda; Arachnida; Scorpiones; Buthidae.
GAUUUAUUACGUCUCUAUGGAAACAUAUUUGUUUAUCUUUGUUUUAUUUAUUUUUUUCGGAUUUUCCAAUAGUUUUUGUAGAUUGAUAACAGAUACCUUUUAGUAAGAAUUUAUUUAGAUUUAGGAUAUAAAAUAUAAUUUUUAAACGUUUUUUUUUUCUUCCCAUUAUCAAUGUUAAAUCCAAUUACAUCUCGCGCAUAUUCCGAGAAUGAAUGGCACGAAGCGAAUUACAAACUGCUGAAGAAAUCUGAUUUUGUUAGAGACGAAUGGAAGAGAGCAUGCGAAGAAGCAAGAUAUGUGCUAAGGGAGAGAGAAAUGUUAACACAAUCGUCACAAGAAACAGUGACUGGAUUAAUACAAGAGAGAGCAAGAGAGAUCUUUCGAUGGAAGAGAGAAUUUCAAAGGACUAUCGACGAUUUAAUUUCAGUAACUAAGAUUGUUCAUAACCAUAAGAAACAAAUAGAGAAUGCCAUAAAUGCAAUUGAUUUAUCAUUAAUGAUUAACAGUGAAUGCCUCGCUCUAAGAAGACAAAGAGUUGGAUUGGAUUUAGCGGAUGAUUCUGUCCAAUCUUAUCUCUUACAAGAAGAAGAAUUGUUAACAUACGUUAAAGUAUUUCUCUUGAAGAGCAUUCCUAAAGUUGAAGAUCAAAUUAAAAUUAAUAAUAAUUUUAAAGCAAAGUUGGAGGAGGAUUGGACAGAUAAAUGGGAAGCUUAUAAGAUUGAUAGUUUCUGUGUUCAUUUAGAUUAUCACUUUAAUGAAUCUGUACCAUUUCAUUACGGAUGGGAAGAACUGCCAGAAAGAUGGAACACAGUUAAUUCGUGGUUGGAAUCAAUUAAAGAGAGUUUAAUGCAAUGUUCAAACGAAAUUACGAUAUCGAAUUCUCUAUGCAAGGCUGUGGAAAGUUUAUUAAAAGAUUCUUCGAGUGAUGUUCAAGAUCAUCGAUUUCUUGUUGAUUUAGCAUUAAAUGGAAGAAUUGUAGAUUUGAAUAGAAGUAUUUAUCAAUUAAAGGAGCAUCUAAAAAUACUGGUAGAAGAUAUGUCAAUAGCCGAGAAAACAAUAGAAAAACUGACAUAUUCACUAAAAGAAAAGCAACAACCUUUGAAAAUAGCACAGACAAGAUUGCAUUAUCGAUUUCAAAGGCCAAAUAAAGAAUUAAUUCAAGAUCCCGCCCAGGACAGUUUGAUUAAAGAAAUUCAAGAGAUUGAAGAAAGUAUGAGCAUUUUGAAGAAACAAAUUGAGAAUUCCGAAACCAUUUUCAUGAAAUUGAUAGAAGUUAGAAAAAUAAUGGAAAAACAUUUAAUUCAUAAAGAACACGCUCUGUGUAUCGAUAAAGAUAGAGUUGUUCCUGUUCGAAAAAAAUUCCCUUCACAGUAUAAAUUAAUGGGAUACGAAUGAUUAUAUGCCAUAUUAAUUACGCCUCAAUAUAAUUUGAGGGUCCGGAUUCGAUUCUCAUAGAUAGAUUGUCCUAUUCUGCCUUUUAUGGUAUCUUUCUAAUGAAUUUAUCUACAAAAAUGGUUUUUGUAGAAAAACAAAGUUUUAAUAAAUUGCAG